ACCUGCAAAUCCCUGAUAUGAAAUAUGUGUUCUCUCCUAGAUUGGCGGAAGGAACAGUUCCAAGCCUGUGAGUGAUUGUGUGCUUCCAGAUGUUCCUCCUGUUGCUCUCAUAGUUUGUGGCUUCUCCUUAAGCCCUCUGUGGUGAUUCAGAUACUGACAUCACCAAUGGUGUUACCGUGGCAGAAGUGAUGGUCACAAAACUGUAACCAAUGGUCCUGUCACAUGGCUACCCUCAAGUCAGCCUUCUGGCUCCUUCUUCUGGUUGAGGACGUUGGUUUGAGUUAUAAGACUUAUAUCUCAGGAGUCUAAUCCCCUCCUCAGCUCAGGCAGCUAUGUGGCUGUGAGGUGGUGGGUGGCUGUGUGCUAUGUGUUGGGGCAAGGGCGCACCUUACAUGAUUGAUAACUCUCUCAACAGGGUCUGUCACGCUGGAUCCAGACUCUGCUCACCCCAUGCUGUGUGUGUCUCAUGAAAAGACGUGUCUGAAGGACCCCUCUGUGAAUAGUGAUAAAAAUUUCAGUGUGUUGGGUCUUGAGGGCAUCACAUCAGGAAGAUGUUACUGGGAAGUGGAGAUAAAGAAUAAAUCCCAUAGCAGGUGGACUCUGGGAGUCUGUUGGAAAGAUUUAAAAAGAACAGACUCAUACAGAGAAUUACCAGAUAAGGGGUUUUGGGUUAUGGGGAAACAUGACAAUAGUUAUUUUGCCGGGACUGGUCCUGUGACUUGGUUAUCUCCUAGGCAGGAUCCCUGCAGGGUGGGGGUUUUCCUGGACUACAGUGAAGGGGAUGUCUCCUUCUAUAACAUGAAUGAUGGGUCCCACAUUUUCUCUUUCCCUCCAGCUUCCUUCUCUGGAGCUCUCUUUCCGUACUUCAUGAUUAUGUAUGGAGAUGUGUCCAUGACCAUCUGCUCCAUGGAGAGUGGGUCUGAGGGGCUCCCUGUACCCCUUAACAAUUCUCCUACUUUGGAGGAGACCCUGAGCACUCCAAAGGAGGGGUUCAUCUCAAGCUGUGGUGUUGAUGGUGCUUACCCAGAGGCUAAAUCUUUAUUACUUCCGUGACACCAAAAGGUUUUGUCUUCAUAGAGUCCCUUGGUAUGUGUGAUCACUCACUGUGGCUGUUGCUGUGGCUAUAGACUCAAUGUGGCAAAAUCCCCUGAGAUGAGACUUGGAAGGUGCAAUGUACUUGUCCUCCUGCUCUUGCUCAGACUUCAGAUGUGUGGUUAAAAGGGUUCAUAUCUUAUAUAUUCAGAUAGCAGAGGUUAAAAGUUAACUCUUUUUGAACUGGUUUAGGGAAUGUGGAAUUUAAAUAUAAGGAACCAUAUCUUUUUGGUAUUGAAAAAUAUUUUAGAUAGGUGUGACAGCUCAUACCUCUAUCCCAGCUACUGGGGAGGCUAAGGCAGGAGGAUCACUUUAGCCCUUAAGUCUCAGACUAUCUUGGGCACCUUAGAGGUACCCUGUCUGAAAAAAAUUCAAACAAAGGGGAGAUCACAUUACUGGACUUGCAUGUUUGUAGAGGAAACGAGAUUGAGAAGGUUUUCCAGUUCUAUUUUUGCAAUUUUGGACUAUCAGAUGCCAGAAAGUUUAUCAUCCAAAAGUUUUCUGGGAUAUGAAUAGGUGUGUUAGUCAUCUUGUUGACUCUGUGACAAAAUACUGAGAAAUCAACCUAUAGGAGGAGAGAUUUAUUUUCCUCGUAGUUUUAGAGGUUUCAGUUCAUAAUUGUCUAGCUUCAUUGUUUCUGAGGCAGAAUGUCAUGUAAUGAUUGAUAACAUGUGGUGGAGCAAGUGAUUCAUCUUAUAGAAGACACAAAGCAAGAGAGGGAGACAGAGGAAAAGGGUAGGGGAAGGGAGGGAGUUAAAAGUGAGGGUAGAGAGAGAAAAAAGAGAGAGGGAGGAAGGGAAAAAUAAGGGUCUGGGACAAGACCUAGUCUUCAAUUACACAGCCACAUUUACCUACUUCCUUCCUGUUUCCUAGUCCCCACCACCCAAAGUUUCCACCACUUCCAAAAAGGGCCACAAGCAGAACCAAGCUUUUAACACAUAAGCCUUUGGAAGAUAUUUCUGUUCCAAUCUCCAAACAAUGGUGGAUUUUUAAGAGAAUGGUCCAACUUUCUAUGGUAUUUGCUUUCUAUUCUGGGAUGAAUGGAACAUAUUUGUUUUCCCUUGCCUCAGUAACUUUCUGGUACCAUUGAGAAUAUUGUGAUAUGUUAAUCCAGGGAAUUAGGGAUAAGGGAAUGGAUCCCCCUUAGAAGCUAUUAGUACACAUUCAUUGUACAAAAUGUCAGGUUUUAUUGUGACAAUUUCAUACAUGCAUAUAAUGUACUUUGAUCAUAUCCACCCUUCCUGCUACCUUUUGAUUUUUUCCUCCAUUCCUCUUUUGUGUCAAUACUGUAACUGAGGAAAGGCAAGAAUUACUAGAGUAAAUAUAAAUGAAAAAGAGAAUUUUCAGAUGCAAAGUGAAUUUCAAAAAGCUUUGAUCAUGAGCAUAGGUCCAGUUAGUAUAUUUCCUCUUAGUACUUCCAAGUCUGAUCUUAAGGGUUAAUGGAAAACCACAGCAAACAAGAAGAGACAGGACUAUUGAGAAUUAGACCCUGCAAAAAUAAAGGUGUGUUCACUCUACCAGAUUUUUGUGACUAGUUUUCUGACUUGGGGAGAGGAAACACAGAAUGGGAUUUGGAAGAAAGAGAGUACAUAUAACACACAGUACUUCUAGAAACAAGGAUGUAUUAGUUUUGUAUAUUUUCUCUUUGCUUGUGGUGUAUAUGUGUGUAACUGUAUGUAUUGACCAUUUGCUUCCUCUCUCUUCUUAUAUUUUGAUUUUCUAUACAAAUUGUUAUCUUUUAGGUAAUAGUAUAGUCAAUGAGACUGAGUGAAUCUGAAGAGAUCAUAUAGUAGUGUAGUGUACAGUGAUUGGGAGUGCUUUUUCCUUAUGUUGGGGAGUAGAUAAGAACUUCUUCCUUAGUCAGGUUGCUUUGUCAUGAUGGAUUUGUUGUUUUAUGGAAGUUCAAAAUUUGUAAAAUGGUAUAACAUGUAUGUAUACAUAAAGUAUAAAGUCAAAGGUGUGGACAGAGUCCAGUAUCAUUUUAUUGCAUUUCUGUUCCAAAUCUGCUCUAUGUUGGUUUUCUUUGUGUUAAUGGAGCUGGACCGUGUAAACACUUUUUUGCCAACUGAGACAAUGUGAGAUAUUUUGUACAAUGCAGUGGAGGGGCCACUUCAUUGCAAGGUAGUUCUGUUUUUUUUUUCUUUUUUCUUUUGGAUGUGGGUUGGGGGACCAGGGAUUCAAUUCAGGCUCCUUAACCACUGAGUGAUGUCCCCAAUCUUUUUUAAAAACUAUUUUUAUUUAGUUGUGGUUGGACACAAUAAAUUUAUUUAGUUUAUUCUUUAAUGUGGUGCUGAGAAUUGAAGCCAGUGCCUCACAAUGCUCCCGCACUGAGCUACAACUCCAGCACCACCAAACCUUUUUAAAUUUUAUUUUAAGACAGUGUUUUGUUGCAUUGCUUAGAGCCUGGCUAUGGUGCUUAGACUGGCUUUGAGCUUGUGAUACUCCUGCCUCAGGGAUCACAGGCAUGGGUUACUAAACUGGGCUGUUUUUUUCUUUUUGAAUCACCUUCCAGCAGUGUGCAGAAGGCUCACCUUUUGGUUACAUAGUAGGAAAUGUGUAUAUUGAUAUCUUUAUCCAUAAUUUUAGUCUUCACUCUAGGUCCCUGAAAAGUGGUUUCUCUCCCUGAUCCCUGAAAACAGCUCCUAAAACUCUUGGAAUUUCCUGAUGCAGAUGAAAGGAGAGUCUCUUGUUAUUAAUAACCAGCCCCUUUCAGCCAUCUGAGUUUAUGUUAAUAAGAUAACUUUUAGAAAGUCAUCUUAUUAACAUGGGUCACCUCAGGAGGGGGGCAGAUUGCCAAAGUAACAAAUUUUAUGAGUAGAAAGUUGAAAGAGAGGAGGAAAUAGGGCUGAAGGUUGAGUUUAUUAUUUGCCAGUAGUCAGUGAUUUAAUCAAUCAUAGUGACUCAGUGAAACCUCCAUGCAAACAUUGAGGGAGCAUCUGACUUGAUGAAUAACAAUGCAUCCAUGUGUGUUUUGGGGUGGUGCCUCUGAAACUCCACCAUGGGACAGAUACUCAUGUGUUCCAGAUAUUUUGGGCCUCACCCUAUGCACAUGUUCAUCUGGCUAUUCACUGUGUCUUU
Molecule: long non-coding RNA, 4170 nt
Filed under: Marmota monax (woodchuck)
Lineage: Eukaryota; Metazoa; Chordata; Mammalia; Rodentia; Sciuridae
Source: RNAcentral